UACGGGGGGAGCAAGCGUUGUUCGGAUUUACUGGGCGUAAAGGGCGCGUAGGCGGUCGUGACAAGUCACUUGUGAAAUCUCCGGGCUUAACUCGGAACGGUCAAGUGAUACUGUCGGACUAGAGUACAGAAGGGGCAACUGGAAUUCUCGGUGUAGCGGUGAAAUGCGUAGAGAUCGGGAGGAACAUCAGUGGCGAAGGCGGCCCUCUGGACGGAUACUGACGCUGAGACGCGAAAGCGUGGGUAGCAAACAGG
Molecule: ribosomal RNA, 254 nt
Filed under: uncultured bacterium
Lineage: Bacteria
Description: partial 16S ribosomal RNA
Rfam family: Bacterial small subunit ribosomal RNA
Source: RNAcentral